GAAACCAACAGGGAUUGCCUCAGUAACGGCGAGUGAAGCGGCAAAAGCUCAAAUUUGAAAUCUGGCUCCCUUUGGGGGCCCGAGUUGUAAUUUGCAGAGGAUGCUUCGGGUGCGGCCGCGGCGUAAGUCCCUUGGAACAGGGCGUCAUAGAGGGUGAGAAUCCCGUCUUGAGCCGCUGGUCCCGCGCCCGUGUGAAGCUCCUUCGACGAGUCGAGUUGUUUGGGAAUGCAGCUCUAAGUGGGUGGUAAAUUUCAUCUAAAGCUAAAUACUGGUCGGAGACCGAUAGCGCACAAGUAGAGUGAUCGAAAGGUUAAAAGCACCUUGAAAAGGGAGUUAAACAGCACGUGAAAUUGUUGAAAGGGAAGCGCUUGCGGCCAGACUCGGGGGCGGGGGUUCAGAGAGCUCUCGUAGCUCGCGCACUCUCCCGUUUCCCGGGCCAGCAUCAGUUUCGGCGGUCGGUCAAAGGCUCCGGGAAUGUGUCGUCUCUAGGGACGUCUUAUAGCCCGGGGUGCAAUGCGGCCUGCUGGGACUGAGGAACGCGCUUCGGCUCGGAUGCUGGCAUAAUGGCCGUAAGCGGCCCGUCUUGAAACACGGACCAAGGAGUCUAACAUCCACGCGAGUGUUCGGGUGUCAAACCCGUGCGCGAAGUGAAAGCGAACGGAGGUGGGAACCCUUAACGGGGGGCACCAUCGACCGAUCCUGAAGUCUUCGGAUGGAUUUGAGUAGGAGCGUGGCCGUUAGGACCCGAAAGAUGGUGAACUAUGCCUGAAUAGGGUGAAGCCAGAGGAAACUCUGGUGGAGGCUCGCAGCGGUUCUGACGUGCAAAUCGAUCGUCGAAUUUGGGCAUAGGGGCGAAAGACUAAUCGAACCAUCUAGUAGCUGGUUCCUGCCGAAGUUUCCCUCAGGAUAGCAAUAACGAUAUUCCAGUUUUAUGAGGUAAAGCGAAUGAUUA
This 952-nucleotide ribosomal RNA is filed under the name Shanorella spirotricha. Its description in RNAcentral is "eukaryotic LSU rRNA". It matches the Rfam family "Eukaryotic large subunit ribosomal RNA", at positions 61 to 1023 of the family's 3401-position model. The record is from RNAcentral. Lineage: Eukaryota; Fungi; Ascomycota; Eurotiomycetes; Onygenales.